RNAcentral lists this ribosomal RNA (444 nucleotides) under uncultured bacterium. RNAcentral's name for it is "partial 16S ribosomal RNA". It matches the Rfam family "Bacterial small subunit ribosomal RNA", at positions 354 to 796 of the family's 1533-position model. The record is from RNAcentral.
GUAGGGAAUAUUGGGCAAUGGUCGGAAGACUGACCCAGCCAUGCCGCGUGCAGGAAGACGGCCCUCUGGGUUGUAAACUGCUUUUAUCUGGGAAGAAAAAGGCCAUGCGUGGCAAAUUGCCGGUACCAGAUGAAUAAGCACCGGCUAACUCCGUGCCAGCAGCCGCGGUAAUACGGAGGGUGCGAGCAUUGUCCGGAUUUAUUGGGUUUAAAGGGUGCGUAGGCGGCUGAUUAAGUCAGCGGUGAAAGACUUCGGCUUAACCGGAGCAGUGCCGUUGAUACUGGUUGGCUUGAGUGUCGGAGGGGUACAUGGAAUUGAUGGUGUAGCGGUGAAAUGCAUAGAUACCAUCAGGAACACCGAUAGCGAAGGCAUUGUACUGGCCAACAACUGACGCUGAUGCACGAAAGUGUGGGGAUCGAACAGGAUUAGAAACCCCGGUAGUCC